Molecule: transfer RNA, 85 nt
Filed under: Felis catus (domestic cat)
Lineage: Eukaryota; Metazoa; Chordata; Mammalia; Carnivora; Felidae
Rfam family: tRNA
About the family: Transfer RNA (tRNA) molecules are approximately 80 nucleotides in length. Their secondary structure includes four short double-helical elements and three loops (D, anti-codon, and T loops).
Source: Rfam by way of RNAcentral
UCCUAGGUGGCUCAGUCGGUUGAGCAUCUGACUUUGGCUCAGGUCAUGAUCUUGGGGUUCAUGGGUUUGAGCCCCACUUUAGGCU